GACCGUGCUAAGGUAGCAUAAUCAUUUGUCUUAUAAUAGAAGGCUGGUAUGAAAGAGUUGACGGUACUUGUACUUUCUCAAUAAAUUAUAUUGAAUUUGAUAUUUGCAUCAAAAAGUGCAACUUCCCAGAGGGACGAUAAGACCCUAUAAAGCUUACAUCAAAAAUUUUAYUUUUUAUAAAGUUUUCUAAAAUAAAGUUAUUGAUUGAGCUGGGGCGGUAAUUACUAUUCUGUAAGAAAUAUAACAAUUAUGUUUGAAAUUUAAGAUCUUAAUAAAGAUGUAGAACAAGCUACUUUAGGGAUAACAGCGUAAUUUCUUAGAAUAGAUCUCAUAGAUUAAUAAGACUUACGACCUCGAUGUUGAAUUGAGGGGCUCCCCUUAAGCAGAAAUAAGGGAGAGGGGUCUGUUCGACCUUUAAUCCCUCA
RNAcentral lists this ribosomal RNA (425 nucleotides) under Eugerda sp. RNAcentral's name for it is "partial 16S ribosomal RNA". Lineage: Eukaryota; Metazoa; Arthropoda; Malacostraca; Isopoda; Desmosomatidae. The record is from RNAcentral.